RNAcentral lists this ribosomal RNA (484 nucleotides) under uncultured bacterium. Its description in RNAcentral is "partial 16S ribosomal RNA". It matches the Rfam family "Bacterial small subunit ribosomal RNA", at positions 30 to 507 of the family's 1533-position model. The record is from RNAcentral.
AUUGAACGCUGGCGGCAGGCCUAACACAUGCAAGUCGAGCGGAUGAAGGGAGCUUGCUCCUGGCUUCAGCGGCGGACGGGUGAGUAAUGCCUAGGAAUCUGCCUGGUCGUGGGGGAUUACGUCCGGAAACGGGCGCUAAUACCGCAUACGUCCUGAGGGAGAAAGUGGGGGAUCUUCGGACCUCACGCUAUCAGAUGAGCCUAGGUCGGAUUAGCUAGUUGGUGGGGUAAAGGCCUACCAAGGCGACGAUCCGUAACUGGUCUGAGAGGAUGAUCAGUCACACUGGAACUGGGACACGGUCCAGACUCCUACGGGAGGCAGCAGUGGGGAAUAGUGGACAAAGGGCGAAAGCCUGAUCCAGCCAUGCCGCGUGUGUGAAGAAGGUCUUCGGAUUGUAAAGCACUUUAAGUUGUGAGAAAGGGCAGUAAGUUAAUACCUUGCUGUUUUGACGGUACCAACAGAAUAAGCACCGGCUAACUUCGUG